RNAcentral lists this ribosomal RNA (1381 nucleotides) under uncultured bacterium. RNAcentral describes it as "bacterial SSU rRNA". It matches the Rfam family "Bacterial small subunit ribosomal RNA", at positions 28 to 1381 of the family's 1533-position model. The record is from RNAcentral.
GACGAACGCUGGCGGCGUGCCUAAUACAUGCAAGUCGAACGCUUCUUUCCUCCCGAGUGCUUGCACUCGAUUGGAAAGAGGAGUGGCGGACGGGUGAGUAACACGUGGGUAACCUACCCAUCAGAGGGGGAUAACACUUGGAAACAGGUGCUAAUACCGCAUAACAGUUUAUGCCGCAUGGCAUAAGAGUGAAAGGCGCUUUCGGGUGUCGCUGAUGGAUGGACCCGCGGUGCAUUAGCUAGUUGGUGAGGUAACGGCUCACCAAGGCCACGAUGCAUAGCCGACCUGAGAGGGUGAUCGGCCACACUGGGACUGAGACACGGCCCAGACCCCUACGGGAGGCAGCAGUAGGGAAUCUUCGGCAAUGGACGAAAGUCUGACCGAGCAACGCCGCGUGAGUGAAGAAGGUUUUCGGAUCGUAAAACUCUGUUGUUAGAGAAGAACAAGGACGUUAGUAACUGAACGUCCCCUGACGGUAUCUAACCAGAAAGCCACGGCUAACUACGUGCCAGCAGCCGCGGUAAUACGUAGGUGGCAAGCGUUGUCCGGAUUUAUUGGGCGUAAAGCGAGCGCAGGCGGUUUCUUAAGUCUGAUGUGAAAGCCCCCGGCUCAACCGGGGAGGGUCAUUGGAAACUGGGAGACUUGAGUGCAGAAGAGGAGAGUGGAAUUCCAUGUGUAGCGGUGAAAUGCGUAGAUAUAUGGAGGAACACCAGUGGCGAAGGCGGCUCUCUGGUCUGUAACUGACGCUGAGGCUCGAAAGCGUGGGGAGCAGACAGGAUUAGAUACCCUGGUAGUCCACGCCGUAAACGAUGAGUGCUAAGUGUUGGAGGGUUUCCGCCCUUCAGUGCUGCAGCAAACGCAUUAAGCACUCCGCCUGGGGAGUACGACCGCAAGGUUGAAACUCAAAGGAAUUGACGGGGGCCCGCACAAGCGGUGGAGCAUGUGGUUUAAUUCGAAGCAACGCGAAGAACCUUACCAGGUCUUGACAUCCUUUGACCACUCUAGAGAUAGAGCUUUCCCUUCGGGGACAAAGUGACAGGUGGUGCAUGGUUGUCGUCAGCUCGUGUCGUGAGAUGUUGGGUUAAGUCCCGCAACGAGCGCAACCCUUAUUGUUAGUUGCCAUCAUUUAGUUGGGCACUCUAGCGAGACUGCCGGUGACAAACCGGAGGAAGGUGGGGAUGACGUCAAAUCAUCAUGCCCCUUAUGACCUGGGCUACACACGUGCUACAAUGGGAAGUACAACGAGUCGCUAGACCGCGAGGUCAUGCAAAUCUCUUAAAGCUUCUCUCAGUUCGGAUUGCAGGCUGCAACUCGCCUGCAUGAAGCCGGAAUCGCUAGUAAUCGCGGAUCAGCACGCCGCGGUGAAUACGUUCCCGGGCCU